CGAACUGCCGUUGACAAACGGAGGAAGUGGGGAUGACGUCAAAUCAUCAUGCCCCUUAUGUUCUGGGCUACACACGUGCUACAAUGGCCGGUACAGACGGACGCAAAGCCGCGAGGUGGAGCAAAUCCUAAAAAGCCGGUCUCAGUUCGGAUUGCAGGCUGCAAUUCGCCUGCAUGAAGUCGGAAUCGCUAGUAAUCGCAGGUCAGCAUACUGCGGUGAAUACGUUCCCGGGCCUU
RNAcentral lists this ribosomal RNA (236 nucleotides) under uncultured Bacillus sp. Its description in RNAcentral is "partial 16S ribosomal RNA". It matches the Rfam family "Bacterial small subunit ribosomal RNA", at positions 1145 to 1382 of the family's 1533-position model. The record is from RNAcentral. Lineage: Bacteria; Bacillati; Bacillota; Bacilli; Caryophanales; Bacillaceae.